UACCAGCACCCCGAGUGGUCGGGACGUUUAUUGGGCCUAAAGCAUCCGUAGCCGGUUCUACAAGUCUUCCGUUAAAUCCAACUGCUUAACAGGUGGGCUGCGGAAGAUACUAUAGAGCUAGGAGGCGGGAGAGGCAAGCGGUACUCGAUGGGUAGGGGUAAAAUCCGUUGAUCCAUUGAAGACCACCAGUGGCGAAGGCGGCUUGCCAGAACGUGCUCGACGGUGAGGGAUGAAAGCUGGGGGAGCAAACCGG
RNAcentral lists this ribosomal RNA (253 nucleotides) under uncultured bacterium. Its description in RNAcentral is "partial 16S ribosomal RNA". It matches the Rfam family "Archaeal small subunit ribosomal RNA", at positions 474 to 727 of the family's 1478-position model. The record is from RNAcentral.